Molecule: transfer RNA, 77 nt
Filed under: Escherichia phage T5
Lineage: Duplodnaviria; Heunggongvirae; Uroviricota; Caudoviricetes; Demerecviridae
Description: tRNA-Pro
Source: RNAcentral
UGGAGACCAAACAAUUGCGGGUUAGAUCUCUGGUAGAGAUCGCUAGUCUCAUAAGCUAGAAAGAGGUAGGUUCGAUU